GACGAACGCUGGCGGCGGGCUUAACACAUGCAAGUCGAACGGAAAGACCCUGCUUCUGUGGGGUUCUCGAGUGGCGAACGGGUGAGUAACACGUGAGUAACCUGCCCUUGGCUUUGGGGUAACUUCAGGAAAAUAGGGUUAAUACCGGAUAGUAGCGCCUGCAGCACGGUGGGGGUUGGAAAGUUUCGGCGGUUGGGGCUGGACGCGCGGCUUAUCAGCUUGUUGGGGGGGUAGUGGCUUACCACGGGUUUGACGGGCAGCCCGCCUGGGAGGGGGGCCGGCCACAUUGGGCCUGCGAUACGGCCCAGACUCCUACGGGAGGCAGCAGUGGGGAAUAUUGCACAAUGGGCGGAUGCCUGAUGCGGCAACGCCGCGUGCGGGAUGUCGGCCUUCGGGUUGUAAACCGCUUUCGCCUGUGACGAAGCGUGAGUGACGGUAAUGGGUAAAGAAGCACCGGCUAACUACGUG
This 468-nucleotide ribosomal RNA is filed under the name uncultured bacterium. Its description in RNAcentral is "partial 16S ribosomal RNA". It matches the Rfam family "Bacterial small subunit ribosomal RNA", at positions 28 to 507 of the family's 1533-position model. The record is from RNAcentral.